RNAcentral lists this ribosomal RNA (1216 nucleotides) under human gut metagenome. RNAcentral describes it as "bacterial LSU rRNA". It matches the Rfam family "Bacterial large subunit ribosomal RNA", at positions 1086 to 2324 of the family's 2925-position model. The record is from RNAcentral.
AAGACAGCUAGGAUGUUGGCUUGGAAGCAGCCAUUCAUUUAAAGAGUGCGUAACAGCUCACUAGUCGAGCGAUCUGGCGUGGAUAAUAAUCGGGCAUAAACGAUCUGCCGAAGCCGUGGAUGUCGUAAGACAUGGUAGGGGAGCAUUCCAUGCGGCGUCGAAGAUGAGGGAUGACCCUUGUUGGAGCGCAUGGAAAAGCAAAUGUAGGUAUGAGUAACGAUAAGGGGGGCGAGAAACCCCCCCGCCGAAAGACCAAGGUUUCCUGAUCAACGCUAAUCGGAUCAGGGUGAGUCGGGACCUAAGGCAAAGCCGAACGGCGACGCCGAUGGAAGAAUGGGUUAAUAUUCCCAUACUGCCUCAUGGAGUGACGUGGAGACGGAGAAGUGACAGUCCUGCCGGCUGACGGAAUAGCCGGUUGAAGGGUGUAGAUAUUGAUUCCCGUAGGCAAAUCCGCGGGGAGAGUCGAACCUGACAGUAUACCGAGUACUUGUACGAGGUAAUAUGGACGUAACCAUGCUCCCAAGAAAAUCCGCUAAACUUAUCCAUGCGGCACCCGUACCGUAAACGGACACACGUGGUCGGGUUGAGAAUACUGAGGCGCUCGAGUGACUCACGGUUAAGGAACUAGGCAAAUUGACCCUGUAACUUCGGGAUAAAGGGUCCUCGUCGUAAGGCGAGGCGCAGAGAAUAGGUCCAGGCAACUGUUUAACAAAAACACAUGGCUGUGCUAAAUGGAAACAUGACGUAUACAGCCUGACACCUGCCCGGUGCUGGAAGGUUAAGAGGAGAUGUCAUCGCAAGAGAAGCGUUGAAUUGAAGCCCCAGUAAACGGCGGCCGUAACUAUAACGGUCCUAAGGUAGCGAAAUUCCUUGUCGGGUAAGUUCCGACCUGCACGAAUGGUGUAACGAUCUGGGCACUGUCUCAACCGUGAGCUCGGUGAAAUUGUAGUAUCGGUGAAGAUGCCGAUUACCCGCGAUGGGACGAAAAGACCCCGUGAACCUUUACUAUAGCUUAACAUUGAAUUUGGGUAAUUGAUGUGUAGGAUAGGCCGGAGGCUUUGAAGCGGGCACGCCAGUGUCCGUGGAGCCGCUGUUGAAAUACGGCCCUUUGAUUAUUUGAGUUCUAACCCGUUGUUGCGGGGACACUGUUUGGUGGGUAGUUUGACUGGGGUGGUCGCCUCCAAAAGUGUAACGGAGGCUUCUAAAGGUGCCCUCA